GAGCUGCGGCUGUCAUUAGGUAUAGAGUCCCCCCUGGAAUUCGGUCCCCUACAUAGCAAAGUAGUGGUAACGUAAUAUAACUAAAACAGUAAGAACGCUAUUUGUUUGAUUUCACUUCCUACAGCCUCAUAUACAUACUAGCAUAGCAAGCACUUAAUAUAAAUACGUUAAUGAUAAUUUUAGCACAGUUCUAGUGACAUGUACCCUAAUGUAAUUUUGUAAGAAUUGCAAUCAAGUGCUCAAAGAGUACCCAAAUAGACUAAUUACAAAAUAUAAUAUCACAAUGCAAAUAACCAAAAUAAAACAAACAAUCAAAAAAAGCACAUCACUUAUACAUCUAAAACCAAAAAAGACGUUCUUCCAAUAGAAUCACUCGGGGUCCUAGAGGGGACCGUAUUCGAGGGGGGACUCGAUUGGGGGACUCUAUGGGUGCUUCUCAAUAUCCCUCCUCAUCUUCUCGCUCCUCUAUCCUCCAUCCUAUGACCCGGAAACCAAUCGAGCUCAGCCAUAUUGAAGGACAUCUCAAUUCGAGAAGGGUCUGGCUGCAGACCAGGGGUGCUUCUCAAUAUCUCUCCUCGUCUCCUCGCUCCUCUAUCCUCCAUCCUAUGACCUGGAAACCGAUCGAGCUCAGCCCUAUUGAAGGACAUCUCAAUUCUCUAAUUGCACCGGGAGGAGUCGAGGAUCGAGGAGGGAGGAGGCUUCCUGAGGAGUCAUGAGCGAGGAUACACAGGUGUAUCCUAUGCGGAAGUUGUUUAUUGCCUAAACGUGUCGCACGUAUAAAUUCUCCUCCCACUUCACAUCUGCUUCAAGUGCUUACCAUGGCAGAACAUUCAAACACACAUAAAUGGACUGAUGAGGAGACUGAACAGUUAAUUAAAUUGAGGAUGGAGCUGGAUUCCGACUUCACUGGGAAGAGGAACAGUGCCAAAAAAACCUGGAUGAGCUCCGCUGUCCUCCUACGGGAACGGGAACAGAUAGUGGGGAGGCCACAGCAGCCACAUGGCCGUGGUUUACUGCAAUGCAUGAGGCUAUUGGGAGGAGGCCGUCUAUUGAGCCUCCCAUUCUGAUAGACUCAUGUGACGCAGAAGUCACUGGCAGUUCUGCUGUGUCCAAUGAGCCUGGCUUGUCACCAUCUGCAUCUGUGGAGGAAAGAGAGGAGGACUCCACAACCUCCGCACUGUCUGGCACAGGCAACGUUAACAAGGAAAGACCCUGUACUUCUUCGGGUCCCCCGCCACCCAAAAAGAAAAGAACCAACAGAGUGCUAUAUUUUCUAGAAACGGAGACAGAAAAAGAGGAGGAACGUUUUCAAGCCACGCA
Molecule: long non-coding RNA, 1320 nt
Organism: Triplophysa dalaica
Lineage: Eukaryota; Metazoa; Chordata; Actinopteri; Cypriniformes; Nemacheilidae
Exons: 3
Source: RefSeq, a predicted model, not a curated record